CGUUCUCCUUCCUGGCUGCCCUCGGCUUUGCUAUGCACUUCUUCAUGAUGCGCAGCAUUUCCCGCUUUGCCACACUAUAAAAAAUAUGAUUUGUAAUUGUUGGACUAAUUAAAGUUUUCAAGUUAGUCAGACUCAGAAAUAAGGUUUCACUAUGUUUAACUACCAAAACAGUAUCUGGCCAGCAAACUUCUCUCUAUCGUUGCAUCAAAAGAUUCCGUUUCAGGGGCACGAGUGAGUGGGCGUCAAUAUCGACCUUGUGGCUCGCCAAGGAUCAAGUUUUGACGAUUUGUCGAGUAUUUAUUUGGCUUAAAAUAUAUCUGAAGAAUUUCAUCGCAUCACCAGCAAAGACCUCCUGAAGACUUUCAAUGAGUCCCUUGAGAAUUAUGUGCCUCGCCUGCUCAGACUGUAACGGGCUAGAAAGGGAGCUUUUGGUCAGCAAAUAAAAGACUUCCUGGAUAAGCUUGAUGAACAGACAUCAGACAAUGUGUCUCACCGAAAGAUGACAGCACUGAGAUGCCUCCCCGUUUGUCCGGGACGACACAACUAAGUUUUUCCUGGAGCAUUUGAAAACUGACCCUGAAGAAAGAGUGCUCAGAUUGGCAUCCUUACAAUCCUUGAAGAAGAUGAUCCUGCUGUAUCACCCAACGUACGGGACUGGGCUGUUGUGUUGGAAGGUUCAAUCGUGCUACAUGACCUGCCAGACCUCGGUACCGCCUUUGCAUACCUCUUUGGCCUACUUUAUGCUAUGAACAUCGAUUAUGCAAAGGAGAUUAAGUACACCUUUGAAGCAAUUCAGUCUAUCUUUUUCGAGUUUGGCUCUCAGUGCUCUCAGCGGACAAGGUCUCUGAAAACCAAGCUUUUGCUGUGACUCUUAAUGUGGAAGCCAACCUAUGUUUUUUGCCUGUUCUAGUGCAUUGUGGUUGGUGCUCAUGUAAAACUUCACGGCCAGUGAUUUAAAACAUGCAAGACCUCACGGAAAACAAUUGUAUUUUUUUCAAAUUGUAUUUACAAUUAAGUGAGAUACACAAUUUAUUUUAUUUUAUUUUUUUCAAAAUGUAUUUCAAAUUGAGUGAGAUUCACAAAAUGGCAUCAUGCUACAUAACCCGCCAGACCUCGGUACUGCCUUUGCAUACCUCUUUGGCCUACUGUAUGCCAUGAACAUUGAUUAUCCGAAGGAGAUGAAGUACACAUUUGAAGCCAUUCAGACUAUCUUUUUCGAGCUUGGCUCUGUGCUCAAGUCUCCUCUGCCUCUGAAAUAGAUUAGCUGCUGCUGCUCUUGCUGCAAAACAUCAAAAAACACUUCUUCAUUCACACACAGAGUAAAGCCUUUUGAAAUGUAUACAUUUGUACAAUAAUACAUAUUCAUCUUAGUACCUAAAUUCUCAAAAAUGAAAAUGUAGUUUGAUUAGGAUUGCUGGAAGAUGACGCAAAUGCAACCAAUCUCCGCAAAUUAUUUGCAGCCUUGCAUCUUUUUCUAAUGCAGACAACUUCCCAGCAUAUUUUGGCCAAUCAAAUUUGUAUCUGAGCGGCAUUUAAACGUGUUUUUCUAAUGCUGACAACUUCCCUGCAUAUUUUAGCCAAUCAAAUUUGUAUCUGAGCGGCGUUUAAACGUGCAUGUCAACUGUAACUGGUAACAAUAUAUCAACUUUUUAUUGCUGUCCAAGGUGGAAGCAGGUGAUGAUACCAUCCACCCACUCAUCCCCUCAAAAAUCCCCCUCACACCCCCUGGGCUCUACUGCUACACACACUGCCUGGAAAAGUUAACACACACACAUAGUGCUCUGUUCUUUGUUUCACUGUUUGUUAUCAUCUCUGAUCUUCUCCAUAAAAUUGGAUUUUGUGUAGUCGUCAGAAUUCACGGUAUUGCUGGAAAAAUACAGGGACGCAUUUAAAACACGCAUUACAUGUUUUUAAGCGCAUGUGUUUACCUUAUUUCAGUAGCGGCGUGAACAGCAGCAAAAUCCAUCUGCAAAACAUCAAAAAACACUUCUUCAUUCACACACAGAGUAAAGCCUUUUGAAAUGUAUACAUUUGUACAAUAAUACAUAUUCAUCUUAGUAACUAAAUUCUCAAAAAUGAAAAUUUAGUUUGAUUAGGAUUGCUGGAAGAUGACGCAAAUGCAACCAAUCUCCGCAAAUUAUUUGCAGCCUUGCAUCUUUUUCUAAUGCUGACAACUUCCCCGCAUAUUUUGGCCAGUCAAAUUUGUAUCUGAGCGGCGUUUAAACGUGCAUGUCAACUGUAACUGGUAACAAUAUAUCAACUUUUUAUUGCUACUUCUGGGUCCUGUUUAAAGCACUAAGCCUUCUGGGUAUUGUAGUAUAUAAACAUUUAGCAACACACUGGCAGCCUCACUUCCUAGUUUACAUAUAUUUACUCAACCUAAAGUCCUCCAAGGAAAGACAAUUAGGAACAUAUUUUCAUUUGCAAUGCUGCCCUAAAAAAAGAGGCAGCAUUUAAAUGACUGAGAUGUUGAAGUGUGAGUAUGCAGUGUUUCCCAUAAACAUAAACAGCAUUAUGAAAAACAGUCAAAUAAAUGAAAAUACUGGUCGAUGUGCAAAUAUUGACAUUAAAUAAAUGCUUAAGCCAACAAAAUGUGCAAAGUAUUGUAAUUAAGAAAUUAAUAGUGUACAACUCAGGCUUUAAAGCCAUAUUGGUAACAAUAUAUGCAAAUAAAUAACAGUCACAUUAAGCAAGGAGAAACAAACAUGUCUUACAGAAUAUUGUGAACAUCGGAAUAAACCUGCGUCUGAACAUCUGUGACAAAACAAACCUGUUACCCUCUUCAGUCAUUUAUGGAAAAAUCAAACCAACUUCAGUAUCUCCUUUUCCACGGAUUCCCUGCACAUUGUGUAAAGCUUAGGAAUAGCUGUCUUGGAAAAGUGCUUUCGGCCAGGUAGAACAUAACGGGGGUCGAGCACGUGUAUGAGAUUCUUGUACCCAGACUUCUCAACUAUGCUGAGCGGUAGCAUGUCCUUCGCUAAUUGAUACACCACUGCAUCCGUUAUUUCUUUAUAACGUUUUGAAUUUUUGUCGUAUGGCACUGCUGCCGAGUAAUACUGUCUGCGGCAACAACAGACCACCAUCGAGACGAUGGUGGUCUGUUGUUGCCGCUUCGGUGCUGUUCCACUUGCACCGGCUGAUGUAGAUGGUUGUGGCUGUUUGAUACUGCUGUACUCCAGCGGGUGAGAGCGGCUCAGGUAGAACAUAACGGGGGUCGAGCACGUGUAUGAGAUUCUUGUACCCAGACUUCUCAACUAUGCUGAGCGGUAGCAUGUCCUUCGCUAAUUGAUACACCACUGCAUCCGUCAUUUUAUCUUAAAUUAAGGAGUUGCUUCCUUGCUGCUCUGUCAUUAGCCUUAUCAUCCUCAUCUUGAGGAAAGAGACUGCGCUAGAGUAGCUAUGUUUGUAACGUAUGGUGUUAUCGGUGAGGUCGAAGAUUCAGCCAUUAAUCCUGCUUGUUGUUCUGUAUUUUUGCCAUCUUGUGUGGAAACACAACGAUACAAAAUGUUUCUAAAGUCUGCCACAGCAAAAGGCUUAUAUUGAAAUCUGCCGCUUUUAUCAGGAAAAAGUGGAUAUGCGUGUCCCUCCAGCUUUUUUUUAAGCGUGUGUUGUAUGCAUGUGGUUCAUGUGGGUGUUGGUCAAUGUAGCCUUCCAUUGAGCCAUUAACAGUUACAGGAGACCACAAAGUCUGGCUCUGUUGUGUGUUGUUCAAGAAUGUCUGAUGUGCAUGUGAGAGACUGUCAUCUACUGGGGGAGGGCAUUUGUUUAUGGCAACAAAAUGGUCUGGCGUGUAAAGUGAGGAGUUUUGCGUUGACUCAUGCAUUAUCUGCUGUCUAGUAAGAUUAGGAAUAUUCGGGAGGUUUUCCGCUGGGUGGCUGUUAUUUUGGGGCUUAGGCACCAGAGGUGAAUUACACUCAGGAGACAGCGUUAGUUUUGGAGGAGGGUUCAAUCUUAGAGAGGCUGUGUGAACACCGUCCUCGUUUGUCACAGGAGUAGGGGGUGGACCAGAGAGCUUUGUUUCUGUUUCGACCACCAGGGCUCCUCCUGUGACUGUCAAAAGUGGGUAUAAAGAUGCCUCCGGCCUUACGUCAUAGGUCGGUGGCUUAGUCAAAGUCUGGGCGGGUCGUUUGAAUUGUCUUACGCAUGCGCGGCAGACAAAAAACCAAUCAGUCAAUUCUGUCAUUAAUCAUCGGUUCUUUUGUUGCAUUUCGUUUUUCCACGUAAUCCCCGUUUACUUUUAUCAUACGCCAAACUCUUAAAUUAUCUCCCUGAGUGUUCCAUUUUCACCAGCGCACACACACACACACAUGCACGUGUAAGCACUCACGCACAUACAAGCAAGUGCCUACAGCCCUACGCACACACACACACGCACACGUAAGCACUCUCUCUGCGUUUCACUUUACCAUAAAACUUCCAGUUACUUUUUUAUUUUAUUUUUUAUUUUACCAGACGUUUGAGUUCACAACUUUUCGAGUAUUGUAAACUCCCUCUUAACCCUUUCAAGGAACGUUCUCUUUUCUUUCUUUCUUUUCUUUUUCUUUUUAAACUCUACCUGCUAAUUCCAUUGUCGACAACAGUGCAUUCAAUUGAUUAUUAAACAGUAAUGAUUCAUCACAUUUUCCCCAGCCGUCAUCACAUUAUUUUCUGUCACACUCCUUGGCCAUUGUGUCUAUUUUUCCUUAAUUUUAGCGCACACUAAAGUGUCGCCGGGACCUCACAACCAGGGAAUCUUUAUUGUAUUUAUUACAAAUGGCCUCCAGCCGUGGAAUUUAUCAUAUGGUACAGAAGGGCCUCCUCCCGUACGAUUCUUAAUUUUAACGCACACGUUAAUGCCGUAGGGAACUCGCACCAGGGAGUAUUUAUUGUAUUUUACAAAUGGCCUCCAACCCAUCCUUAAUUUGUGUGCACAUAAAAAUGUCAACAGGGAUCUUACAACCAGGGAGUAUUUACUGUACCAUAUGAUGGGCAUCCAACCCGUUACUCUUUUAGGCGGCGACCAACUACCCAGGGUGAGCCACACCCAACUAUUAGUUCACUCGUCAAUGAAACUGCCCGUCACGGUAAUCGAGACACAAUGACGUGAGUUGACCACUUAUUUACAAUUUUAAUGCAAUGGCAGGCUCGGCAAAAAUGCAAUCAAUCUAUCAAAAUCACCAUUCUGUGUCUGGGGUACAAAGCAGUGUUUAACUUACAGACUUCUGGGCAGACUCCUAAUGCAGAUUUUAUCUAAAAAGAAAGGUUCUGCUUACCUUGAAUUAUGUUUUGGCCAUGUGAGUCUGUCCAGAAGAUUGCAAGAGAAGGUCCAAUUGUCAGCGUGUCAUCUCGGACGAAGCCCCCAAAUUGUUGCGUUUGACCAGAUGUUCCUCCAAGUGGGAUGUAAAACGCUGGUCAGUCCCAAGUUCCUUAGAUGACACAUAAACUGAUCUCGAAUAUACCACCAAGCACAGUAUAGGUAUUUUGUAAUUUAUUGUCAAAUAUUUGAGAAUAGAGACCAGCCUCGAACAACACAUACAAAUGCGUAGCCCAAGUUGAUCUGAAAAACAUCCCGGAAUGCACUCUCCUCUUCAAUAUUUCACCCCCCCCCCCCCCCCCGCCCUCACUUGUCUCACCUCAAACACAUGCUCAUUGUGCUUCUUAUCUAGAGUUGGGCUGCAGGAAAGCAAGGAGGAUUCCUUCUCUCUGCCUUCCACCCCAAGGCCAUCCCCAGUGCAAGCACUUUGUCAUGAGAUAAAAAGAAAAGCAAAGAGUACAAUAUGGAACAUUAGCUAUAUGUAAUAUGACUAUGAAAAUUAAUAAGUAACACAAAAUAUGGAUAUAUGAAGAUAUAUAUAUAUCUUUCAGUCUGUAGUCUCAAAGAAAGUGACACUGGUAUUGUACAAAAGCUCAACUGGCUGACUGUCUUACGAAAAAGGGGGCAUCACCCUUGAUGCUUUUGAAAGCACUGAGUGAAGGAAAAUGGGUUCUUACCUAAGUUGAAUUUAUUGUUUCUGUUGUUUAAAAAAGACAUGUAUUUGUUCUCAAGAAACAUGUGCUAUUUAAUUUUUAUUUAUUUAUAAAAGAUAGGGAGAUUGUUAACAUGUUUCUGGGUUAACGCAUGUGCAGUGUUUGUGUAACGCAUGCGCAGUGUUCGUGGGCGGGAAGAGGGGAUCGAGUGUUUCCGGUUUUACCUCUGUGCGUCAGUUCAUUAAAGUUGUGAACCAGAAUAGACGUCGUGUUUAUUCACCCUCUGUGAGGAUUGUACUCACUUUAGUUAUAAUUGUAUUGUUGAUGGUUUGGUCAAGUGUAUGAACGACUUUUCAGUGGCAAAGCGGGAAAUGCUGCGCACUAUGAAGAAGUGCAUAGCAAAGCCGAGGACAGCCAGGAAGGAGAACAGGCCAGUGGUUGUGCCCCUGGCUGCGAGUAACCCCUGGCUGCAGCCCGCAGAUCGAGGAGGGGCUUAUUUUCCCUCAAUGUGGGCGGGUCUCAACGUUGAGCCCGCGGGCUCCAUCUGGUGGCGGAGAUCCGGCAGCACACAUUCUCAAACGUCAAUAAAGCUACUUUUAACUUGUCAAAAGUAUUUUUUUUACCAUGAAAAAACAAUAAAAUAUAUAUAUAUAUAUAUAUAUAUAUAAACCAUAGUAUGGAAAAAGGUUAAUGUAUUUGAUAGACUUAGACAUUCCUACUUUUAACUUGUCAAAUGUAUUUUUUUUUACCACGGGGGCUUCAUCUGGUGGCGGAGAUCCGGCAGCACAUUCUCAAACGUCAAUAAAGCUACUUUUAACUUGUCAAAUGUAUCUGCCAUCUUUUUUGUAGUUUGAUUCCUUUUUUAUUAUCUUUAUUAUUUUCUGUAUUGAUCCUACACUAUUAUUGUGGUUUUUUUGUUACUUCUGAUAUGGCCUUGCCACGGUUUACUUGCUUAUUUAUUUAUUUAUUUUUUGUGUCUUUUUAUUUUGUAUUGUUUUACAUCUGAUCAACUUCUGUGACUUUCCUUUUCUUUUUUAAGUGUGAACGGUGAAGAGGUCCUCGAGAGGUGAUCUUGGGAUCACUUCCUGAGGAUCCUUGAUGCCGAGGAAUGUUCAUCCAUCUUGCUGCAUAAAUCCAUUUGAUGUCAUUAAAAUUCAUCAAGAGCAACGUGUGUGUAUGUUUACCCUUUUCCUGUCUUACUAGUGGUUAUUUUGUCAACUACAGAGAGUUGCAGGUGUUUAUUAUAUGGUAUUACUGUAUAUACAAUACCAGUCAGGUUUUUUCACACAUUCUCAUGCUAUUUAAUGACUGUAUAUUUUGUAUUUUUU
Molecule: long non-coding RNA, 7274 nt
Organism: Entelurus aequoreus (snake pipefish)
Lineage: Eukaryota; Metazoa; Chordata; Actinopteri; Syngnathiformes; Syngnathidae
Exons: 7
Source: RefSeq, a predicted model, not a curated record